GGUUAGGCGUAGGCGGCCGUAUUAAGUCAGGGGUGAAAGACGGUAGCUUAACUAUCGCAGUGCCUUUGAUACUGAUGGGCUUGAAUGGACUAGAGGUAGGCGGAAUGUGACAAGUAGCGGUGAAAUGCAUAGAUAUGUCACAGAACACCAAUUGCGAAGGCAGCUUACUAUGGUUUAAUUGACGCUGAGGCACGAAAGCGUGGGGAUCAAACAGGAUUAGAUACCCUGGU
RNAcentral lists this ribosomal RNA (230 nucleotides) under uncultured bacterium. Its description in RNAcentral is "partial 16S ribosomal RNA". It matches the Rfam family "Bacterial small subunit ribosomal RNA", at positions 567 to 791 of the family's 1533-position model. The record is from RNAcentral.